GGCUCAAGUGAUCCUCUCGCCUUGGCCUCCCAAAGUGUCUGGAUCACAGGCAUGAGUUGCCACACCCGGUCUCCUCAUAUGACAGAGCAAGACAGAGGGAGACUCCAUCUUAAAAAAAAAAAUAAAAAAAGUGGAGAAGGAGAGAAGGGGUCAGGGAGGCAGCCAGGAGGGAAGAGUGAAGUAAGAAGCAGAUGAAGAGAAGCAGGGUGGGCACACACCCAGAGCCCCCCUGUGUCACCCGCCUGCUACCAGACCCAGGAGGGUCCCGUCGGGGUGGGGGUCCUGGGACUUAACUCCUCCUCCAGCCUCAGCCCUCCCGGUGCCAAGAUUCUUCAACGUCCUCGGGAUGCACCUCCGCACUGUGGGGCCAUCUGGGUCAGCCCGGACGCACCGGCCUCUGUCUGGGUCCCAGUCUUCUCACCGCCAGGCGGGCAGGUGAGGCCUCGGUCAUUCCAGGUGCAGCCUCGGAUCAGGGAUGACGGCCCAGGCUGAAGUAUCAUGAUGAAGAGCUUGGACCGAGGGCAGUUAAGGUGUUCUUAUAUGAAGAGGAGAUCAGGACACACACACACACAGAGGCACGACCCUGUGAGGACCCAGGAGGAAGACAGCGUCUGCAAACCAAGGAGACAGGCCUCAGUAGGAACCAGCCCUGCCCACGCCUUGGUCUCGGACUUCAGCCUCCAGGACUGUGAGGGAUGAAUGCCCAUGGCCGGCGUCGCUUGGUGUGUGGCGUUUGUUCCGGCAACCCUGGGAGGCUGGUGCGAUGUCUCUUUGGUCUUACUCUCUCCAUCGAGACCCUCUCGAAGGCCUGUCUGGGUUGAGGAGGGGGCGUGGAAGAUCCUGCCUCCUGGUGGGGAAGGUGUUGGGAGAGUGGUGGUACAGGGGGCGUUGUGGCAGUGGUUUGUGGGCCCCGCCUGCCACACAGCCCCCAUAGAGACUGAGAGUCCCCCAGCAGGUCUGAGGAGAGGGUGAGCUCUUGGGUGGGAUUCAGGCCGGGAGAGGGGUGGGGAGCAGGGCUGGGGGCUUUAGGCAGGCCCAGGUCCUCAGGACACAGGCAAGGGAGGCCAGAGAGGCAGCUGGGUCUCUGCGGUGGGCCGAGGAGUUCAGGAAGCCCGGCCUGGGCUGGAGAGAGUCCCAGGCUUGACCGGGGCCAUUUCUGUAACACUUCAGGGCAGGUGCACGGGGCUCAGAACCCCAGAUUGCAAAAAUGCAGCCCGGGAGGCUACCAGGAGGCUCCCGCCGCUCAGAGACGGAAGACGGCCCCCGUCACGGCUGCAGCAGGUGCUGCCAGGGACGCUGCUCGGAGCUCCAGGCUGCAGGGACAGGGCCACCCCGGGCCGCCCGCUCGCCCGGCCUGAUGUCUCCCACCCGGCACUUUGAUCCUCUGAAAGCCUGUAGACCGCGGGCUCUAUAACCUCAAGAUUUGUGUGCCGGGUGGGUCUGGAGGUCCCGCGUCUCAGCGGAUUUUAUUCCUCUCAUUAUUUUGCUUAACGGGCUGUUACUGCUGUGUCAGACAGCAUGGAGCGAAAAAUCACACUUUUUGGGAGAUGUUGUUCAAGAGAGAGACUGGAAAAGCAUGACUUAGUGGCGAAGGCUGCAGUGCUGAGCUACCACCUCCCGGAGCAGAGCCGAGGCCCUGAGGUGGGUGAGAGGGAGGUCCAGGCCCAGGGGCCAGGGGGAGCCCACAGCCACUCCUGGGGGGCUCCUCUGGAAGCCCUCCUGGGCAGGCAGGUCUCAGGGUCCCAGUCCAAGCCAGCGCUCAGCUUCAAGACUGGAAAAAACUGAACUUCUCCUUUCUCUUUUCUGUUUCUGCUUCUCCCAAGUCCCUCAGAUCCCCUCAUUCAUUCAUUCAUUCAUUCAUUCAUUCAUUCAUUCAUCCUUCCAUGAAUGAAAGGUCUCUUCAGUGUCAGAGGACACAGAAAUGAAUGAGAAAAAAAAUCUCUCUUUUCCUGGGGCCAAUAGAUGUGGACUUUGCCCUCGAGUACUGCUCUUUAAUUCCCUUUCUUUUAUCUUUAAAAUAAACUCCUUUAAAAACAGGCAGUUCAAGCCUGGGCAACGUGGCAAGACCCCAUCUGUAUAAAAUACAAAAAAAUUAGCCAGGUGUGGUGGUACGCUCCUGCAGUCCAAGGUACUUGGGAAGCUGAGGCAGGAGGAUCGCUUGAGCCCAGGAGAUCAAGGCAGCAGUGAGCCGAGAUCGUGCCACUGCACUUCUGCCUGGGUGACAGAGUGAGACCCUGUCUCAAAACAAAACAAAAAACCAGGCAACUCAGAUGGUUAAAUACAGACAUACCAUGUGACCCAGUCAUUCCACCCCUGGGAAUAUACCCGAGAGAAAUGGCUACAUAUAUCCACACAAGAACUUAUAUGUGAGUGAUCACAGCAGCUUUGUUCAUAAUAGCCAAAAAGUGGAAAUUGCGCCAACACCCCUCAGCUGAAGGCUGGGUGAACACAGGAGCUGGUGUAGCCACGAUGGAAUAUUAUCCGACAAUAGAAAGGAAUGAAGUUCCACACAGGCUGCAGCAUGGAUGAACACUGAAAAUAUUAGAGGCUUAGUUUAUUAUUUUAUUUUAUUUAUUUUUUUUUUUUUGAGAUGGAGUCUCGCUCUGUCACCCAGGCUGGAGUGCUGUGGCGUCAUCUCGGCUCACUGCAACCUCCACCUCCUGGGUUCAAAUGAUUCUCCUGUCUCAGCCUCCCGAGUAGCUGGGAUUACAGGUAUGUGCCACCACGCGCGGCUAGUUUUUGUAAUUUUAGUAGAGACGGGGUUUCCACCAUGUUGGCCAGGCUGGUCUCAAACUCCUGACCUCAAGUGAUCCGCCUGCCUCGGCCUCCCAAAGUGCUGGGAUUACAGGCGUGAGCCACUGUGCCUAGCCCAGAUGCUAAGUUUAAAAAGCCAGACACAAAAUACCACAUCUGUAGAAUUCCACUCAUGUGAAAUGCCCAGAAUAGGCAAUUCCAUGGAGACACAAAAUAGAGGCGUGGCUGUCAGGGGCUGAGAGGAAGGGUAGUGGGGAGUGAUGGCUUAAGGUGUGUGGGGUUUGUUUUUGGGGGUGAUGAAAACGGUCUAAAGUUGAUUGUGGUGAUGGUUGUACGACGCUGUGAAUACUCUAAGAAGCGUCGAAUUGUGUGCUUUACGUGGGUGAGUUGCAUGGCAUAUGAAUUAUAUCUUAGUAAAGCUGUUCGAAAAAUCACAGUGCCUAGGUAGAUUGUUAAAAGUAUCCGUUAUUUUCUGUAGAAUAUUUAAAAUAGUGCCUGAGACAUGCUGGAUGUUCAAUAAAUGUUAGCUAUUAAAAAUAAUACAUUCCUUUUAAGCACCUGCAGCCCUGCCUCCUCCAGGAAGCCACGGGGCCCUGACAGGAAAGGCCUCUGCGGGGGCUUCCUCAAGACCCCUGCCACCCCCGGUCGGCCACAGCCACUCUCUCCUGCCUUAUUUCUGUUUAACUCUGAGUUUCAGGCAGACAUCUCUGUCCAUGGCUUUGUUUUGUUUUGUUUUUCUGGGGAGAGGGUCUCACUCUGUUGCCCAGGCUGGAGCGUAGUGGUGGGAUCACAGCUCACUGCAGCCUUGAACUUCUGGGCUCAAGUGUCUUCCCGCCUCAGCCUCCAGAGUAGCUGGGACCACAGGUACCCACCACCCCCAUGCCCAGCCCUGAUUUUAAUAGUCACCCUGGAGGGUGACCCUUUCUCUUUUCUGUUUCUGCUUCUCCCAAGUUCCUCAGAUCCCCUAAUUCAUUAAUUCAUUCAUUCUUUCAUUUAUCCAUCCAUGAAAGCUCUCUUCAGUGUCAGAGGAUACAGAAAUGAAUCAGUGUCAGAGGAUGCAGCAGCGGCCUCCUCCUC
Molecule: long non-coding RNA, 3831 nt
Filed under: Homo sapiens (human)
Lineage: Eukaryota; Metazoa; Chordata; Mammalia; Primates; Hominidae
Description: HSALNT0338938
Source: RNAcentral